Molecule: long non-coding RNA, 2011 nt
Organism: Schistocerca gregaria
Lineage: Eukaryota; Metazoa; Arthropoda; Insecta; Orthoptera; Acrididae
Exons: 2
Source: RefSeq, a predicted model, not a curated record
ACAUGAUCAAAUUUAUCUCUUCAAGAUGGAGCUUCACCAUUAAUGGAGCAAUUAUCAUUCUUUCAUGAUCAUACUAUGGUCGUAUUAUUAUUAAUUACAGUAAUUGUAGGUUAUGCCCUAAGUUAUAUAUUAUUUAUUGCCUAUACUAACCGUAAUAUACUUCAUGGACAUUUAAUUGAAACAAUCUGAACAGCUUUACCAGCAAUUACAUUAAUUUUUAUUGCCCUUCCAUCAUUACGACUAUUAUAUUUACUUGAUGAUUCAGUAGAUGCAAUAAUUACAAUUAAAACCAUUGGACGACAAUGAUAUUGAAGAUAUGAAUAUUCAGACUUCAUAGACGUAGAAUUUGACACUUAUAUAACACCAGAACAAGACCUAGAAAAUGAUGGAUUCCGACUACUAGAUGUAGAUAACCGAACAAUCCUACCAAUAAAUACAGAAGUACGAGUAUUAACAAGAGCAUCAGAUGUUCUACACUCAUGAGCAGUUCCUGCAUUAGGGGUUAAAAUUGAUGCAACGCCAGGUCGAUUUAUUGUGAAUGUUCCUUGAUUUAACCGACCUGGCGUUGCAUCAAUUUUAACCCCUAAUGCAGGAACUGCUCAUGAGUGUAGAACAUCUGAUGCUCUUGUUAAUACUCGUACUUCUGUAUUUAUUGGUAGGAUUGUUCGGUUAUCUACAUCUAGUAGUCGGAAUCCAUCAUUUUCUAGGUCUUGUUCUGGUGUUAUAUAAGUGUCAAAUUCUACGUCUAUGAAGUCUGAAUAUUCAUAUCUUCAAUAUCAUUGUCGUCCAAUGGUUUUAAUUGUAAUUAUUGCAUCUACUGAAUCAUCAAGUAAAUAUAAUAGUCGUAAUGAUGGAAGGGCAAUAAAAAUUAAUGUAAUUGCUGGUAAAGCUGUUCAGAUUGUUUCAAUUAAAUGUCCAAGAAGUAUAUUACGGUUAGUAUAGGCAAUAAAUAAUAUAUAACUUAGGGCAUAACCUACAGUUACUGUAAUUAAUAAUAAUACGAGCAUAGUAUGAUCAUGAAAGAAUGAUAAUUGCUCCAUUAAUGGUGAAGCUCCAUCUUGAAGAGAUAAAUUUGAUCAUGUUGCCAUUAAUAAAUAUUUUCUAAUAAAAGGUCAAACCUUUAUUUGUAGAGCUUAAAUCUACUGCACUAAUCUGCCAUAUUAGAAUCUAGAGAUUAAUGGUAAUUCUGAGUAACUAUGUUCUGCAGGAGGGUUAUUUUGUAGUCAUUCUGUUGAUCUUCUUAUGUUAGCUCUAAAUAAAAUUGCUCGGUUUGUAAUAAUUCUUUCUCAUAUAAUUACAAUGAAUAUAAUGAUUCCUACAAUAGAAAUUGUAGACCCAAUUCUUGAUACUACGUUUCAUGAUGUAUAUGCGUCUGGGUAGUCAGAGUAUCGUCGAGGUAUUCCUGCUAAUCCUAGGAAGUGUUGAGGAAAGAAUGUUAAAUUUACUCCAAUGAAUAUAAUUGUAAAUUGGAUUUUUAAUCAUGUAUUAUUUAUAGUUAAUCCUGUAAAUAGUGGAUAUCAUUGAAUGACACCUCCUAUAAUUGCAAAUACUGCUCCUAUAGAUAAUACAUAAUGAAAGUGGGCUACUACAUAAUAUGUAUCAUGUAAUACAAUAUCAAGUGAUGAAUUUGCUAAUACUAAUCCUGUUAAUCCACCAAUUGUAAAUAGGAAAAUAAAUCCUAGAGCUCAUAAUAAUGGUGGAUUGAACUUGAAUUUAGUUCCAUAUAAUGUAGCUAAUCAUCUAAAUACCUUAAUUCCUGUAGGUACAGCAAUAAUUAUUGUUGCUGAUGUAAAAUAUGCUCGUGUGUCAACAUCCACUCCUACUGUAAAUAUAUGAUGUGCUCAUACAAUAAAUCCUAUUAGUCCAAUUGAUAGUAUAGCAUAAAUUAUACCUAAUGUUCCAAAUGAUUCAAUUUUUCCUCUUUCUUGACAUACAAUAUGUGAAAUAAUUCCGAACCCCGGUAGAAUUAAAAUAUAAACUUCUGGGUGUCCAAAGAAUCAAAAUAGAUGUU